CAGCCAGCCGCCCCUCACCAAGGCCAUUUCUUCAAAAGGACUUUCCAGAAUGGAGUCAGACGGGACCUGUCAGAGGAACCACAGGACACACAGGCCUCAUCAGCAGUUCCAGAGCAGCUCUGGGGAGAAAAGCUCCCAGCCCUGUCCUCCCGAGGAACCAUUUAAGAGAGUAUAUGUAGGAGUGUGUCUGUGAGGCAGGUGGAGGCUGGAGUGAGGAACUCGUAAAUGUUAGAAACCCUGGAAUUCUGAAAUGCUGGCAGCACAGAAUAUUAGAAUCACGGCACUAAAUGAGGGACCUUCAAGGUAGAUUCAUCGACAUGAAAGGGACACAUCGAGUGGCUGCCACCCGCAC
Long non-coding RNA from Molossus molossus (Pallas's mastiff bat), 352 nucleotides. RefSeq lists it as uncharacterized. The record is from RefSeq and is a predicted model, not a curated record. The transcript is spliced from 3 exons. Lineage: Eukaryota; Metazoa; Chordata; Mammalia; Chiroptera; Molossidae.